UGGAUUCAGAGGUGGGGUUGUGGGUCGGGUGAGGCCCGGCAGCUUGUCUCCGUGUGCCGCUCCCAAUCAACCCGCGUUUGCCCCAGCCUCCUAUCGCACGGAAACGGAGUCCUGCUGGGGUCUCCUUAACUGGGGGUUCCAGCGCUUCCGCGCACAACGUGCGCUUACGGACCGUCCGUGGACGUUACUGUGAACAAAACAGCGUGUUCAAAGCAAGUGGCUUGCCUGCCCUGCAUGUUAAAGCAUGGAAUAACAAGGCAUCGACCACUCGGCGGUGCUUUUGUUGGUCCUUCCCUCCCGGUGGRAAUGCGCAGGCGUGCACACUGCCGGCCUUCUGGCCGGUUYUGGUGCCGUCUCUUCGAGAUCAAUAGGGGCAAACGGGGAGAUACUUAUUG
This 395-nucleotide ribosomal RNA is filed under the name uncultured marine eukaryote. RNAcentral's name for it is "partial 18S ribosomal RNA". The record is from RNAcentral.